AGCCCAAUAGCCCGCAGUGGAAGCGUGCUGGGCCCAUAACCCAGAGGUCGGUGGAUCGAAACCACUCGCUGCUA
Teladorsagia circumcincta is the source of this 74-nucleotide non-coding RNA. Lineage: Eukaryota; Metazoa; Nematoda; Chromadorea; Rhabditida; Trichostrongylidae. The record is from the annotation of a GenBank genome assembly.